UACGAAGGGGGCUAGCGUUGCUCGGAAUCACUGGGCGUAAAGCGCACGUAGGCGGACUCUUAAGUCGGUGGUGAAAUCCUGGAGCUCAACUCCAGAACUGCCUUCGAUACUGAGAGUCUCGAGUCCGGGAGAAGUGAGUGGAACUGCGAGUGUAGAGGUGAAAUUCGUAGAUAUUCGCAAGAACACCAGUGGCGAAGGCGGCUCACUGGCCCGGUACUGACGCUGAGGUGCGAAAGCGUGGGGAGCAAACAGG
Molecule: ribosomal RNA, 253 nt
Filed under: uncultured bacterium
Lineage: Bacteria
Description: partial 16S ribosomal RNA
Rfam family: Bacterial small subunit ribosomal RNA
Source: RNAcentral